RNAcentral lists this ribosomal RNA (463 nucleotides) under uncultured prokaryote. Its description in RNAcentral is "partial 16S ribosomal RNA". The record is from RNAcentral.
CCCUACGGGGUGCACCAGGCCAUCUUGAUGCACACCCACAUCCACGAAAGCUCCAAAGGAUGUGACAUUGGUCACAAUGCCGGGAACGCUCAUUCCCACCAGCAGGUCGCCGAUCUCGUUUAUGCCCGGGGCAAAGCUGAAGGCCUCGUACUCCCGGCGCGGAUCUCUCCCCGGCCGGAAGAGCUCAUUUAAUAUGUCCUGAAGGGUGCAGAGGCCGACGCCCCCCUCCUGGUUCAUGUAGUCCUCCAGACUCAGUCCCGACAAAAGCCUCUCGUUCUCCACCUGCUCGCUGAUAGAGACCCCGGGAUCCUUUGCCAUUCUCGCCACAAUCGGAUAUCUCUCGGGAUGCACGGCCGUGCGUUCCAGCGGAUUGUCCCCAGCGUGAAUGCGCAGAAAUCCCGCCGCCUGCUCGAAGGCCUUCGGCCCCAGGCGGGGGACCGCCAGCAGAUCCCGGCGGGGGGGC